AGGCUAAAAAAAGAGCUAAGAGGAGAUGCAGAAGUCCUAGUUUUCUUUCAGACCGCUUGAAUUACAAUAUGCUGAAAGAUUAUUACGGAAUUUCUGCCCAACGACG
Molecule: long non-coding RNA, 106 nt
Organism: Etheostoma cragini (Arkansas darter)
Lineage: Eukaryota; Metazoa; Chordata; Actinopteri; Perciformes; Percidae
Exons: 3
Source: RefSeq, a predicted model, not a curated record